Small nuclear RNA from Dermacentor albipictus, 185 nucleotides. RefSeq annotates it as U2 spliceosomal RNA. Lineage: Eukaryota; Metazoa; Arthropoda; Arachnida; Ixodida; Ixodidae. The record is from RefSeq and is a predicted model, not a curated record.
AUGGCUGACGCGAGUCAAAGUUUAGUGUCUGUUCCUAUCAGCUUGAUAUCUGAUAAGGUUCUAUUUGGACGCAAGAUAUUAAACUUAUUUCUGCAAGCAUGAGCUUGUGGAAUGCUUGAAGCGUGCAUUACCUCCGCCGUGCCUCGGUCCGGUAUUUCGCUAACUCCGGUAUCGGCCCAUCGUUU